This 544-nucleotide ribosomal RNA is filed under the name uncultured Glomeromycotina. RNAcentral's name for it is "SSU rRNA". It matches the Rfam family "Eukaryotic small subunit ribosomal RNA", at positions 548 to 1098 of the family's 1831-position model. Lineage: Eukaryota; Fungi; Glomeromycota. The record is from RNAcentral.
UUGGAGGGCAAGUCUGGUGCCAGCAGCCGCGGUAAUUCCAGCUCCAAUAGCGUAUAUUAAAGUUGUUGCAGUUAAAAAGCUCGUAGUUGAAUUUCGGGGUUCUACCGUUGGUCGGGCUUUGUCUGUACUGGUGUGUAGAAUUUCUACCUUCUGGGGAACCAUCAUGCUAUUAAUUUAGCGUGGUGGGAAACCAGGACCUUUACCUUGAAAAAAUUAGUGUGUUCAAAGCAGGCUUAUGUCUGAAUACAUUAGCGUGGAAUAAUAGAAUAGGACGGUGGUCCUGUUUUGUUGGUUUCUGAAUCACCGUAAUGAUUAAUAGGGAUAGUUGGGGGCAUUAGUAUUCAAUUGUCAGAGGUGAAAUCCUUGGAUUUAUUGAAGACUAACUUCUGCGAAAGCAUUUGCCAAGGAUGUUUUCAUUAAUCAAGAACGAAAGUUAGGGGAUCGAAGACGAUCAGAUACCGUCGUAGUCUUAACCAUAAACUAUGCCGACUAGGGAUCGGACGAUGUUAAUUUUUCUUGACUCGUUCGGCGCCUUACGGGAAAC